This 84-nucleotide transfer RNA is filed under the name Myxococcales bacterium. Its description in RNAcentral is "tRNA-Leu". It matches the Rfam family "tRNA". Rfam says of the family: Transfer RNA (tRNA) molecules are approximately 80 nucleotides in length. Their secondary structure includes four short double-helical elements and three loops (D, anti-codon, and T loops). Lineage: Bacteria; Pseudomonadati; Myxococcota; Myxococcia; Myxococcales. The record is from RNAcentral.
GCCCGGAUGGCGGAACAGGCAGACGCAGGUGACUUAAAAUCUCUGGACCGCAAGGUCGUGUGGGUUCGACCCCCACUCCGGGUA